GACGAACGCUGGCGGCGUGCCUAAUACAUGCAAGUCGAACGCUUCCUACCGGUGCUUGCACCGGGAAAGAAGAGUGGCGGACGGGUGAGUAACACGUGGGUAACCUACCCACAAGCGGGGGAUAACAUUCGGAAACGGAUGCUAAUACCGCAUAGAUCUUUUUGUCUCCUGGCAGAAAGAAGAAAGACGGUUUCGGCUGUCACUUGUAGAUGGACCCGCGGCGCAUUAGUUAGUUGGUGAGGUAAUGGCUCACCAAGACGAUGAUGCGUAGCCGACCUGAGAGGGUGAUCGGCCACACUGGGACUGAGACACGGCCCAGACUCCUGCGGGAGGCAGCAGUAGGGAAUCUUCCGCAAUGGACGAAAGUCUGACGGAGCAACGCCGCGUGAGUGAAGAAGGUUUUCGGAUCGUAAAACUCUGUUGUUAGAGAAGAACAAGGAUGAGAGUAACUGCUCGUCCCUUGACGGUAUCUAACCAGAAAGCCAUGGCUAACUACGUGCCAGCCGCCGCGGUAA
Molecule: ribosomal RNA, 515 nt
Filed under: uncultured bacterium
Lineage: Bacteria
Description: partial 16S ribosomal RNA
Rfam family: Bacterial small subunit ribosomal RNA
Source: RNAcentral